UGGGGAAUAUUGGACAAUGGGCGAAAGCCUGAUCCAGCCAUGCCGCGUGUGUGAAGAAGGUCUUCGGAUUGUAAAGCACUUUAAGUUGGGAGGAAGGGCAGUAAGCGAAUACCUUGCUGUUUUGACGUUACCGACAGAAUAAGCACCGGCUAACUCUGUGCCAGCAGCCGCGGUAAUACAGAGGGUGCAAGCGUUAAUCGGAAUUACUGGGCGUAAAGCGCGCGUAGGUGGUUCGUUAAGUUGAAUGUGAAAGCCCCGGGCUCAACCGGGGAACUGACUCCAAAACUGGCGAGCUAGAGUAGGGCAGAGGGUGGUGGAAUUUCCUGUGUAGCGGUGAAAUGCGUAGAUAUAGGAAGGAACACCAGUGGCGAAGGCGACCACCUGGGCUCAUACUGACACUGAGGUGCGAAAGCGUGAGGAGCAAACAGG
This 429-nucleotide ribosomal RNA is filed under the name Pseudomonadota bacterium. Its description in RNAcentral is "Proteobacteria bacterium partial 16S ribosomal RNA". It matches the Rfam family "Bacterial small subunit ribosomal RNA", at positions 355 to 776 of the family's 1533-position model. The record is from RNAcentral. Lineage: Bacteria; Pseudomonadati; Pseudomonadota.